GGAUUUGUGGUGUGUCCAGUUGGCCUUUGCUCUUUGAGUGAUAGUGCUUUACUGGUCUGCCAUGUUUGGGUGGAAUCUGUGUGGCAUUAAGUUGUCGUGCAGGGGAUGCCCAUCGUUUACUGUGAAAAAAUUAGAGUGUUCAAAGCAGGCUUAUGCCUCUGAAUAUAUUAGCAUGGAAUAAUGAUAUAGGACCUUGGUACUAUUUUGUUGGUUUGCGCACUGAGGUAAUGAUUAAGAGGGACAGUUGGGGGUAUUUGUAUUCCAUUGUCAGAGGUGAAAUUCUUGGAUUUUUGGAAGACAAACUACUGCGAAAGCAUUUACCAAGGAUGUUUUCAUUAAUCAAGAACGAAAGUUAGGGGAUCGAAGAUGAUUAGAUACCAUCGUAGUCUUAACCAUAAACUAUGCCGACAAGGGAUUGGUGGAGUUUCGUUUCGUCUCCAUCAGCACCUUGUGAGAAAUCAUAAGUCUUUGGGUUCCGGGGGGAGUAUGGU
RNAcentral lists this ribosomal RNA (491 nucleotides) under Fragilariopsis sp. RCC5491. RNAcentral describes it as "SSU rRNA". It matches the Rfam family "Eukaryotic small subunit ribosomal RNA", at positions 636 to 1129 of the family's 1831-position model. The record is from RNAcentral. Lineage: Eukaryota; Bacillariophyta; Bacillariophyceae; Bacillariales; Bacillariaceae.